This 253-nucleotide ribosomal RNA is filed under the name uncultured bacterium. RNAcentral describes it as "partial 16S ribosomal RNA". It matches the Rfam family "Bacterial small subunit ribosomal RNA", at positions 524 to 776 of the family's 1533-position model. The record is from RNAcentral.
UACGGGGGGGGCAAGCGUUGUUCGGAAUUACUGGGCGUAAAGGGCUCGUAGGCGGCCAACUAAGUCAGACGUGAAAUCCCCAGGCUUAACCUGGGAACUGCGUCUGAUACUGGAUGGCUUGAGAUUGGGAGAGGGAUGCGGAAUUCCAGGUGUAGCGGUGAAAUGCGUAGAUAUCUGGAGGAACACCGGUGGCGAAGGCGACAUCCUGGACCAACACUGACGCUGAGGAGCGAAAGCCAGGGGAGCAAACGGG